This is an RNA transcript of Brassica rapa (field mustard), 5491 nucleotides long. It is a transcript of the gene named disease resistance protein RPS6, with no coding region annotated. The record is from RefSeq and is a predicted model, not a curated record. NCBI's taxonomy places the organism in Eukaryota, Viridiplantae, Streptophyta, Magnoliopsida, Brassicales, Brassicaceae.
AAUAUAUUGUUAAUUGCGAAUGAGAGUGUUAUAUAAAUGGAGAAUCGAGCCUUUUUUGAACGACUUUGGUGUCAGAUGUUUUAAUGAGGAAUGUGUAUCUGCUUCCCUCAUAACGUUUUACGCAAACUGCUAAAAGAACAGAUGAAUCUGGGAAGGUUUGACGAGAAGGUUCAUGAACAAGUGGACUGCUCUAUUGUCAGGCUAUAGUCUGAACAGAAAGCAUGAAAAUGCGCUAAAUCAGUCAACAUUUCCCAGCGGAUUAAAGAGAUGUAGUAAAGGUUGGUUUAGGAACUGAUAUACCUUUGUGUGUAUUUAAGUUGUCAUGUACAGUGACUGUGGAAAUGCAAACAAUUCUGUCACGGUGUUCACAGACGAAGAUCAUCAUCUCGUGGAAUUAAAUUAUUGUUGUCUUCGCGCAGCAUGGGAGAGAAAAGCGGGGAAAAUGAUUCAGUUAAACAUAAAGCCAGAUGAGAUCACUUUCACUGGCUUGUUCUAAAGACUUUUGACUUGUGAUGUGAGAGAGAAACUUUAAAUAUUAAACAAUGUUAAAAGUCACGAAAUAGUCAAGAAGAGGAAACUUCCGCAAAGUUGCAUCUGAAAAGUCGCAUAAACACAUGCAAUUGCUAGGUACUCUACAUCUGCUCUCGUUUUAUAUAUGCAUGUGUGCAUCUUCUCUUAUAUUAUAUGUGCAAUUUAUUUGUUUUCUCUUCUCCGUGUUUUUUUUUACGGAAUAACCUAUCUGAACAAUCUUGUAUGGCUUCUUCUUAUUCUUCAUCCUCUUCUCGCAAUUGGUCAUAUGACGUUUUUCCGAGCUUCAGUGGAGAAGAUGUCCGCAAGACCUUCCUCAGCCACUUUAUGAAGGAGCUAAAUCGCAAACUUAUCACUGCUUUCAAAGACAACGAGAUCGAGAGAAGCCGGUCCCUCGAUCCUGAGCUUAGACAAGCGAUCAAGGAUUCAAGGAUUGCAGUGGUCAUUUUCUCCACAAACUACGCCUCUUCAAGCUGGUGUCUUAAUGAGUUGCUUGAGAUUGUGAGGUGUAAGGAAGAGUGUGCUCAGAUGGUGAUACCGGUUUUCUACGGUUUGGAUCCUUCCCACGUGAGGAAACAGACUGGAGACUUUGGGAAGAUCUUUGACAAGACAUGCCAAAAUAAAACUGAGGACGAAAUCAUUCUAUGGAGGGAAGCUUUGACUGAUGUAGCUAACAUCCUUGGAUAUCAUAGUGUCACCUGGGACAACGAAGCAAGGAUGAUCGACGAAAUCGCCAAUGAUGUUUUGGGUAAAUUGAAUGUUUCUCCAUCAUAUGAGGUUGAGGAUUUUGUCGGAAUUGAAGAUCACAUCAGAGCUAUGAGCUCAUUGCUUGAGUUCGAAUCAGAGGAAGUGAGGAUGGUUGGGAUAUGGGGCCCCUCUGGAAUUGGCAAGACUACCAUUGCAAGAGCUCUAUUUAGUCGCCUCUCUCGUCGUUUCCAAAGUAGUGCUUUCGUAGAUAAAGUUUUCAUAUCCAAGAAUAUGGAUGUUUAUAGAGGAGCUAAUCUAGGAGACUAUAACAUGAAGCUGCACUUGCAACGAGCUUUUCUAGCUGAACUUUUAGACAAUAGGGAUAUAAAGAUAGACCAUAUAGGUGCUGUGGAAAAGAUGCUAAGGCACCGAAAAGCUCUUAUUUUUAUCGAUGAUUUGGAUGAUCAGGACGUGCUAGAUGCCUUAGCUGGAAGAACCCAAUGGUUUGGAAGUGGCAGUAGAAUCAUUGUGGUUACAAAAGAUAAACAUUUUCUAAGGGCCCAUGGGAUUGAUCACAUUUACGAGGUCUGUCUCCCUUCUAAAGACCUUGCUCUUGAGAUUUUUUGUCGAUCUGCGUUCAGAAGGAAUUCUCCACCUGAUGGUUUUAUGGAGCUUGCUUCUGAAGUUGUAUUCUGUGCCGGUAACCUUCCAUUGGGUCUUGACGUUUUGGGUUCUAAUUUACGGGGCAGGGACAAAGAAGACUGGCUGGAUAUGCUGCCGAGGCUUCGAACGUCUUUGGAUAGAAAGAUUGAGAGAACACUAAGAGCCAGCUACGAUGGGUUAAAUAACAAGAAAGAUAAAGCAAUAUUUCGUCACGUUGCAUGUCUUUUUAGUGGGAGGAAAGUUGAUCACAUUAAACUGCUACUAGAAGAUAGAAACUUGGAUGUUAAUAUUGGGCUUAAGAACUUAGUUGAUAAAUCUCUUAUCCAUGAAAGAUUUAAUACUGUGGAAAUGCACUCUUUGCUACAAGAAAUGGGUAAAGAGAUCGUCCGUGCACAGUCCGAUGAACCUGGAGAACGAGAAUUCCUUAUGGAUUCGAAGGAUAUUUGGGAUGUACUUGAAGAUAAUACUGGUACCAAAAGGGUUUUGGGGAUAGAGUUGAUUAUGGAUGAGACUGAUGAACUUCAUGUACAUGAGAAUGCAUUCAAAGGGAUGUGUAAUCUCCGUUUUCUAGAAAUUUUCGGAUGUAACGUUGUUAGAUUGCACUUACCCAAAAACUUCGACUAUUUGCCCCCUAGUCUCAGAUUAUUGUCUUGGCAUGGGUAUCCGAUGAGAUGUAUGCCUUCUAAGUUCCAACCUGAAAACCUCAUCAAGCUUGUGAUGCGUGCAGGCAAUCUCGAGAAGCUGUGGGAAGGAGUUGCGUCACUUACAUGUCUCAAGGAAAUAGAUUUGACGCUAUCUGUAAAUCUAAAAGAAAUCCCAGAUCUUUCAAAGGCCAUGAAUCUCGAGAGGCUUUGUCUUGACUUUUGCUCGAGUUUAUUAGAGCUUCCUUCCUCAAUUCGGAAUCUAAAAAAACUCAGGGAUUUGGAAAUGAAUUUUUGCACAAAUUUGGAGACUAUUCCAACUGGGAUUUAUCUCAACUCUUUCGAAGGCUUUGUUCUCUCUGGAUGCUCACGGUUGAGAAGGUUUCCUGAAAUCUUAACCAACAUCUCAGAAUCCCCUUCUUAUUUGACUCUCGAUGUGCUUAACAUGACCAACCUAAGGAGUGAGAACCUAUGGGAAGGAGUGCAGCAGCCGUUUACUACCCUCAUGACGAGAUUGCAACUCUCGGAAAUCCCAAGUUUGGUGGAGCUUCCUUCUUCAUUUCAGAAUCUCAAUAAACUGAAGUGGUUGGACAUUAGAAAUUGCAUAAAUCUGGAGACUCUUCCAACUGGCAUUAACCUCCAAUCACUCGAAUAUUUAGUUCUCUCCGGAUGCUCACGGUUGAGGAGUUUUCCUAAUAUCUCAAGAAACAUCCAAUACCUCAAACUAAGCUUUUCAGCGAUAGAAGAGGUUCCUUGGUGGGUUGAGAAAUUCUCUGCGCUCAAGGAUCUAAAUAUGGCUAACUGCACCAACUUACGACGUAUAUCCCUAAACAUUUUAAAACUGAAACAUCUCAAGGUGGCUUUAUUUUCAAACUGUGGGGCAUUGACUGAAGCUAACUGGGAUGAUAGUCCAAGCAUUCUGGCAAUAGCAACAGACACUAUUCACUCUAGUCUUCCUGACCGUUAUGUCUCAAUCGCCCACCUCGAUUUUACAGGCUGCUUCAACUUGGAUCACAAAGAUCUAUUUCAACAACAAACAGUUUUCAUGCGAGUGAUACUCUCAGGUGAAGUAGUGCCUUCAUAUUUCACUCACCGUAAUAAUGGAACCUCUCUAACCAAUAUCCCUCUACCACACAUCUCUCCCUCCCAACCAUUCCUCAGACUAAAGGCUUGUGCCUUGUUUGAUAUCGCUACAUUUAGUUUUCAUUCAUUCAACAUCCAGGUAUGUUUUCGGUUCAUAGACAUAUCUGGGAAUCACUUUGAUUAUGUCGAUGUGCAACCAGAAUUCUCAACAUCGAGGCUGGGAGGUCAUCUGGUUAUAUUUGACUCUUGUUUCCCUUCAAACAAAGACAUUACACUUCUAUCUGAUCAACUUAACUAUGAUCACAUUGAUAUACAAUUUCGUCUCAUUGAGGAAGACUAUGAGCUUCAGUUAAAAGGAUGCGGCAUAUUGUUUCCCGAGAACGGUCAAUCAAUGGGUAACCAACUUUGUAACCCAAACAUUCUUCCACUUGUUUUUGGAGGAAACACAAGCAACAAUGGUUACUUGGGAGGCCAUGAGACCGUACACAGCCAAGAGUCUGGAGAUAGCGCUCUGGAGAGUAAUCCAGAUAAUAUUUCACAUGUUCUUGCAGCUGAUGAAGACAAUGUUGUUAAUGAUGGAUGCCAUGUGGCUGACCAAAGUGUAGAGACAUUGAGAAAAAGCAAGCGCAUGCGGGUAAGAACUAUGCAUGAACUGAACAUAAUACUCUUUUGUCUUAUAGUUCGUUUUCUGUUUUAGUAUCCUUCAUAAUUUUGCAUUUACUGGACCUCUUUUGGUGCAGACUACGUGAAGAAACAUUGGAUCUUGAUUGUAAAUCUUCGAGAAACUUUACCUUCAUGCUCAUGAUUGUAAACUCUCUCGCAGUCAUUUUCCGGUUCAGGGCUUCGCGGUUUUUUCUACUCUCCGCCUAGAUAUGGUGGUAAUUUAGUAUAUAUCAAUGUCAACUGUUGGUUCAAAGGCAGACUUGGGGACAUCUUUGAUUAUUUUAGCCAGCAACAAAACUUCUGGACAGAAAAGAAGGAUGGUCAUCUGUUUAUAAUGGACUAUUGUAUCCCUCUACACAAAGAAAGUGCUCCUCUAGCUCAACUGAACUAUGAUCACGUGGAUAUACAACUCCAUGUAAGUACUAGAAUGGACUUUGCAUUAAGUUCAAAGAUAUUUGAUAAACAAUAUGUUCUCGGUCAUAGUGAGUCUAAGUUCAAAUUGAAAGGAUGGGGUAUAUGACUAGCUGAGAAUUGUUUAUCACCUCAGUCGUAGUGAGUCUUCUCGGCCGUAGUGAGUCUAAGUUCAAUGAACCAACUAAUUGGUACGUAAUCCAAAUACACUUCCAGGUGUUUGUGAAACCAAUGAAGACAACAUGGUUAAUCAUGGGCCUAAACAAGAUUAUGAAGACAGUUGUGAAGGGACAGAGAAAAACAGGAAGCGAAUGCGGGUAAGGAUCAAGCUACCUGAAUAUAAUACUGAUAUGUCUCGCAAUUCAAUUAAAAACUAUUUUGUAAUUGAUCACUAAAAUUUUUUUAUUUUUUUUUUGCAGAUUACAUGAAGGACCAUUCAAGAAACCUCCGCUUUCGCUGACGUCAGUUUGAAUCUUUGAUUGUGAUACAUUGAGAAACUUUCAUGGCGAUGAAAUGAGUUGUUUUUUCCGGUGCCAAAGGAACAACAUGAAUCGUCACAAUGAGUUGAAGAGACGUUUUUAGUUAACCAUAAAUCUCAUACUUCAGAAUAUGUAGGUCUUUAUUAUCAAUGUAAUUAAUUAGGUUUUUAUUUUUUAUUUUUUAAAAAAUGUUAUUUUGAAGAUUUUUCGGCUAUUUUAUAAUAAAAAUUGUUUUUAUUUGGAGAUACUUUUUCAUAGUAUAAUUACAUAGUUCAAGGAAAAACCACUUAGUGUGCAUUUAGGCGAUAUGUAGUCGUAUACCUAUGUACAAGAACA